UAAAGGCUUAGUUGAGUUGAGAAGAGGCAAAAUCAUGCAAGCGUUAAAUGUACCAUUAGAGCUUCAAAAAGCAUUAUCGAGGGGAAAAAAGCUGCACCGUGUCCAAAAGAGAAGGAACGAGCAUCCAGCUCCUUUCAUCAUUAUUUCCUGUUGUGGAGUAGGUAUUUAAGAUAGGUCUCUCUUUCACAUUUAUAAAAGCCUAGAGUGUCAGUUCGCUUCAUGUGAGUAAUGGAAACCCAACUGUCCUCUCUUUUCCUUUCUUCAUGUAUAAUUCCAGUAACAUCCAUUCCAAAUAAAAUAGAAUAUAGACAUUUCUUGCAUUAUCUUCAAGGACACUAUUUUUUUUUCCUUUGUGCUACCAUAGAACCAAACAGUUUUAACAAACAUCAGGAUUCCUUCAACUGCUCUCUUUUAAAAUUUAGAUAAUGAUUGGAUAACAUGCAAUAUUAUAUUCCCAAUACACAAAAUA
Molecule: unclassified non-coding RNA, 469 nt
Filed under: Hevea brasiliensis (rubber tree)
Lineage: Eukaryota; Viridiplantae; Streptophyta; Magnoliopsida; Malpighiales; Euphorbiaceae
Source: RNAcentral